RNAcentral lists this ribosomal RNA (488 nucleotides) under uncultured bacterium. RNAcentral's name for it is "bacterial SSU rRNA". It matches the Rfam family "Bacterial small subunit ribosomal RNA", at positions 28 to 518 of the family's 1533-position model. The record is from RNAcentral.
GAUGAACGCUAGCGGGAGGCCUAACACAUGCAAGCCGAGCGGUAUUCUGGAUUUAUUCAGGAGAGAGCGGCGUACGGGUGCGUAACACGUGUGCAACCUACCUUUAUCAGGGGAAUAGCCUUUCGAAAGGAAGAUUAAUACUCCAUAAUAUAUUAAAUGGCAUCAUUUGAUAUUGAAAACUCCGGUGGAUAGGGAUGGGCACGCGCAAGAUUAGAUAGUUGGUGAGGUAACGGCUCACCAAGUCAAUGAUCUUUAGGGGUCCUGAGAGGGAGAUCCCCCACACUGGUACUGAGACACGGACCAGACUCCUACGGGAGGCAGCAGUGAGGAAUAUUGGACAAUGGGUGAGAGCCUGAUCCAGCCAUCCCGCGUGAAGGAUGACGGUCCUAUGGAUUGUAAACUUCUUUUGUACAGGGAUAAACCCAGAUACGUGUAUCUGGCUGAAGGUACUGUACGAUAAGCACGGCUAACCCGUGCCAGCAGCCGAC